UUUAGUUUUCGCACUCUAACUUUAGUAAAAGUGAAUGGAAAUCUAUGAAAUUUUAACACAAGGUUUAUGACCACAAAAGGAAGGUUGGUAUUGAUUUUUGGAGUUUUGGUCCCAACAUUUUAGGAAUUAGGGGCCAAAAAGGGCCCAAAUAAGCAUUUUCUUGGUUUUCGCACUAUAACUUUAGUUUAAGUUAAUAAAAAUCUAUGAAAUUUUGACACAAGGUUUAUGACCACAAAAGAACGGUUGGGAAUGAUUUUGGGAGUUUUGGUUUCAACAGUUUAGGAAUAAGGGGCCAAAAAAGGGCCCAAAUAAGCAUUAUUCUUGGUUUUCGCACAAUAACUUUAAUUUAAGUAAAAAGAAAUCAAUGAAAUUUAAACACAAUGUUAAUGACUACAAAAGGAAGGUAGGUAUUGAUUUUGGGAGUUUAGGUCCCAACAGUUUAAGAAUUAGGGGCCAAAAAGGGACCCAAAUAAGCAUUUUUCUUGGUUUUCGCACCAUAACGUUAGUAUAAGUAAAUAGAAAUCUAUGAAAUUUAAACACAAGGUUUAUGACCAUAAAAGGAAUGUUGGUAUCGAUUUUGGGAGUUUUGGUCCCAACAGAAUAAGGUGCCCAAAGGGUCCAAAAUUAAACUUUGUUUGAUUUCAUCUAAAUUGAAUAAUUGGGGUUCUUUGAUAUGCCGAAUCUAACUGUCAUGACUGUGUAUGUAGAUUCUUAACUUUUGGUCCUGUUUUCAAAUUGGUCUACAUUAAGGUCCAAAGGGUCCAAAAUUAAACUUAGUUUGAUUCUGACAAAAAAUGAAUCAGUUAGGUUCUUUGAUAUGCUGAAUCUAAAAAUGUACUUAGAUUCUUGAUUAUUGGCCCAAGUUUCAAGUUG
RNAcentral lists this long non-coding RNA (873 nucleotides) under Mytilus galloprovincialis (Mediterranean mussel). The record is from RNAcentral. Lineage: Eukaryota; Metazoa; Mollusca; Bivalvia; Mytilida; Mytilidae.